Long non-coding RNA from Arvicola amphibius (Eurasian water vole), 2207 nucleotides. RefSeq lists it as uncharacterized. The record is from RefSeq and is a predicted model, not a curated record. The transcript has 5 exons. NCBI's taxonomy places the organism in Eukaryota, Metazoa, Chordata, Mammalia, Rodentia, Cricetidae.
UUGAAUACCAGGCAGUGGCAUGACUUUAUGCUCCUUAUGUCUCUCAUUCCUGGUUUACUGGUCUGUAAUCAGGGGUAUGGGCAGUACCUAUCUCAGUGGCUUGUUUUGGUGAAGUAAUGGAUCAAGGAGCAUCUAGUGCAGUACUUGGCAAUGAGUAAUCCAGGGAAAUAUUAACUGUCACUCCAGUUUGUUAGUAGACAAGGAGGGAGGCUCAGCAUGAGGUCAUGGGGACCUGGGAGAGCAGCAACUAAAGAAAGAGAAGGGUCAAUGAGAGCCGUUAGCAAGAAAGCCUUGCCAGGACUGAGGGACCCACGGGACUGGGUGAAGACAACAUUUCCUGUAGCUCUGUUUGGAUGGUCCCCACACCCAGAGGCUUAGAAAAGCGAAGGAAGAGGCUGAAGACUGUUAUCUGGGAAACCGACCCUCCCCAGUGACGGAGCAGCAGUCUAACAGGUGUCCCUCAUCUCUUUGCAGGACGACAGGGUAUCACUAUAUAGCUCUGGCUGGCCCAGAAUUUGCUAUGUAGACCAGUCUGGCCUCAAGCUCACAGAGAUCCACCUGGCUCCAGAGUAAUGGGAUUAAAGGUCUGUACCAUUGCAUCCAGCUCAUGUGUUAUUUACAAUCUAGCUAAAAUAGAGAGCUAAUAUUGUAAAUAAAAUUAGUCAGAUGGAGUUGCAAGCCAAGUGCCAUUGUCUAAAAUGCUUUUAGAAAACUUUAUGCUAAUGAAUAGAACUAUGGUCUAAUCUUAUAAUGAAUAAAAUAAACUAUUAGUAAGUACUUUAUCAAGAGUGGAGGUUUUAAUAAAUAAGUAUAUUGCAUGGUGAGGUUAUGACCUUUAGUUUCAGGGUUGAACGAACUGGGCUCCAGUUGAAGCUUCAGCUCAAGGCCAGUGGCUAAGGGCAUGUUCCAUAACUGUUUGUCACGUAGUGUCAUCUACAGAAUGGGUAUUAUAGCUCAAUCCAUCUCAUAGCUGCUGUGAGAAUUAAAUAAAGCAAUAUACAUGAUGUACACAUAGCACGACAUCUAAUCUGUGAGAUACAACAGCUAACUCUAUGUUGCAGCUAGGGUGUAUUAUUUUCAUGUUUGCGUUAGUGUUUCUGUUAAUAUACAGGAACCGAGUCUAUUUGCUUAGCUCGCAAUGUGAAUCACUUAAAGUAGUUGCUUUUGGUCUAUCGUCUCAGUUUUGUCCACUAAUAUUUCUGAGAGAUCCCUCAUCAAGCCAACAGAGCAGACCAUAAUGCUUGGGAACUGUGACCAGAGUCUGCAUAAAAAUAGCGUGGAGCUCAGUGGGCAGGAUAUUAAAUGUUACCACAGUUUAAAUUUAAGUUGUUCAAUAAUCACCUAUGUGACUUUUUUUUUUUUUUUUGAGAUAGGCUCUCUCUAUGUAGUCCAUGAGUCUUGGAACUUGCUAUGUUGACCAGGCUGUCUUCAAACUCAAAGAGAUCUGCCUGCCUCGGUCUCUCAAUUACUUUCUGCCUCUCAAGUGCGUGAGCCAGCACGCCCAGCUAUGACUUGCUUUUUAUUCUGCAUAAUUUGUUUUUUUCCAUAUAACUUGAAACCUGCUAAGCCUGGAAGCACUGUCUACCUGUGUUGGUGUUAUUGUGUAAUACUGUUUGGAGUCUGAUGAAUUUGAGGAAAGAGUAGAAUGUAAAAGAUAUUCCAAGACCUUCAUUUCAGCUUUAUAUCUAGACCUAAUUCUUCUGCUCUCCCUACAAUUCCUUCUCCCACUUGUUCUUCUGGAUUGUAAAAACUCUAAUGUAGAUGUAAUUUCUUCAGUCAUUUUUGCAAAGAGACACUGAUGAAUGAGAGGCACUGACGGACAAAAGCGUCAUGCUGACAGAUUAGAACCACUGAAGUUGGAAAAAGAAGGCCAGAAGAACAGCCAAAAGCCCCAGGAUUUUGAGCAGGAAAGAUACUGGGAUGCUGGACGAAGACUCCAGAGUGCGGGUCUUUAAGGGCUUCAGGAUCCUCUGCUUCUGGGCAAACUAUUUAUCAAAAAAUUCAGCUUCCCAUUCAGCCACUAGUGAGGAAAAUCCUAAGAUCUAACCCUAAAGGGAUGAAGAGAAGUAAUGCUGGCCAAGAGCUUCUUCCCUGGAAGAAGUGCUAAAAAAAAUUUAAUUCCUCAUCAGCCUGCCUGUAUCGCAAAAAUGACACUAGGGGGUGUUGGAGAACCUUCUGGAAGAUUUCAGUAUCACCUAAUCCAGGCA